UCGGCGAAUCGUUGGAAAGACUCAUUUGCAUUUUCACUGGACAGAACUUCUUCCUGCAUAUUGUUUUCGAGCUCAUAUCUAAAAGAUUGUUUUUGUCAUUCGGAAUAAGUACGUUUAAGAUUUAUAAUUAUUUGAGUUAUGUGUUUUAUAUGUUAUUGACUUUUCUAUACAAAAUAUUGGACAGUGAUCAGAAAUAUCGGUAAAAUCAAUUUCGGUGCCAAUAUCUUGGAGAUCGCAUGAGUUAGUUAAAAAAUUUCCAGUGGACCAGUGGCUACAAUGUUACUUUCUCGUUUUGUGCUCGUUAAUUUUGUUGAAAGUGAAUUCAGCAACCCAGUGGUCUCGAUCUGCUCAGCUCAAUGUUCUUUGUUUGUUCCACGAUUCUGGUGUUCAUUGUAUUCAUUUAAUAUUGAAUAAUAUUGGAAAUAUUAAGUUCUAGUAUUUGAAAUAAAUUUUCAUUGUAUUUAUUAUUGUAGCAUUUAAAAUAAAUAUUCAUUUAUAUUGAAUAUA
Molecule: long non-coding RNA, 507 nt
Organism: Anneissia japonica
Lineage: Eukaryota; Metazoa; Echinodermata; Crinoidea; Comatulida; Comatulidae
Exons: 3
Source: RefSeq, a predicted model, not a curated record